RNAcentral lists this transfer RNA (74 nucleotides) under Candidatus Vecturithrix granuli. It matches the Rfam family "tRNA". From Rfam's summary of the family: Transfer RNA (tRNA) molecules are approximately 80 nucleotides in length. Their secondary structure includes four short double-helical elements and three loops (D, anti-codon, and T loops). Further hydrogen bonds mediate the characteristic L-shaped molecular structure. tRNAs have two regions of fundamental functional importance: the anti-codon, which is responsible for specific mRNA codon recognition, and the 3' end, to which the tRNAs corresponding amino acid is attached (by aminoacyl-tRNA synthetases). tRNAs cope with the degeneracy of the genetic code in two manners: having more than one tRNA (with a specific anti-codon) for a particular amino acid; and 'wobble' base-pairing, i.e. permitting non-standard base-pairing at the 3rd anti-codon position. Lineage: Bacteria; Candidatus Moduliflexota; Candidatus Vecturitrichia; Candidatus Vecturitrichales; Candidatus Vecturitrichaceae. The record is from Rfam by way of RNAcentral.
GGCGCUGUAUCCCAAACGGCAGAGGAAGUCGGCUUAAACCCGAUUCAGUGUGGGUUCGAAUCCCACUAGCGCCA